Molecule: ribosomal RNA, 492 nt
Filed under: uncultured bacterium
Lineage: Bacteria
Description: partial 16S ribosomal RNA
Rfam family: Bacterial small subunit ribosomal RNA
Source: RNAcentral
AGUGAACGCUGGCGGUAUGCCUAACACAUGCAAGUCGAACGGCAGCACAGUAUGAGCUUGCGCUUACGGGUGGCGAGUGGCGGGCAGGUGAGGAAUACAUCGGCAUCUACUUUUUCGUGGGGGAUAAAGUCGGGAAACUUACGCUAAUACAGCUGACGACCUACGGGUGAGAGCAGGGGACCUUCGGCCCUUGCGCGAUUGAAUGAGCCGAUGUCGGAUUAGCUAGUUGGUGGGGUAAAGGCCUACCAAGGCGACGAUCUGUAGCUGGUCUGAGAGGAUGACCAGCCACACUGGGACUGAGACACGGCCCAGACUCCUACGGGAGGCAGCAGUGGGGAAUUUUGGACAAUGGGCGAAAGCCUGAUCCAGCAAUGCCGCGUGUGUGAUGAAGGCCUUCGGGUUGUAAAGCACUUUUGGCGGGAACGAAAAGGACUGUGCCAAUACCACGGUUCGAUGACGGUACCCGCAGAAUAAGCACCGGCUAACUACGUG